This is a long non-coding RNA of Sebastes umbrosus (honeycomb rockfish), 1480 nucleotides long. RefSeq lists it as uncharacterized. The record is from RefSeq and is a predicted model, not a curated record. The transcript has 3 exons. NCBI's taxonomy places the organism in Eukaryota, Metazoa, Chordata, Actinopteri, Perciformes, Sebastidae.
ACGAAAGUACAUCAGUCACGCAUGAUGGAGGUUAAUAGUCUCAUUUAGCUACUUGUUGCAUAAAGGCUUCAAAAUUUAAGAGUGGGAUAUUUACAGAUGUAUUUUAUAUCGUAGAACAAAACGUUAGCAUCUCUCAAUCUUGUGUUGACCACAGACCUUAUUUCAGGCAUCUAACUAAAAACCCAUUUAAAAAAAACAUCGACUUCCAGACGAAGGAACCGGAAGUGCUAAAAUGCUAACUCAUUUCUGGGUUUUAGGACUCAUUCCUGUAGCACUCUAUUGUAUUUAGAGCUGUCUGGUUGCCAGAAACAUAACUUCAAAUGAAUGCUAAUGUUGCUCCAUGUCUUUUUGAUGCGCAGGUAGUCUAUUGUUUGCUAUUAUAUUUGGCAUAGCAACUUUAUAUAAAGCCAUAAUGUGUGAAACGUGUGGCCUGUUCAGCUUGUUAUGCCCCCAAGUGGCCAAAACAAGAACCUGAUUUUGCAGCUUUGAUCUGAUGAAAGUUGACAAUGUACAGCUGAGUCUGAUAAGCUGUGUGGAGUUAAACCCUUUUGAUUUACGUUACAACGUGGCUGCGCUGGUGGUUAAGGAUUUAACGAUGGCAAAGUGGUCUCUCCAUUUUUAAACCAUACUACAAAUGUGUUUCCUGGCAUAUAAUGACUAUUGCACCUCACACGGUUGCUAGCGUGGCUGAAGACCUUCAGCCUACUUGUUUUAUUGUUCGAAGUGGAGAGAUAUGACUGAUGUUAUUGGUUGUUUUGAAUGUUCCCAAAUCAAUCCUGUCCGUUUAUUAUUUGUUAAAUCUUGACAGAUAUAGAAUAGUAUUUAUAUAAACUAAAUUUAUCAAGACAAUUUUCACUGUAAAUGACUCCUAAAUGUGUAUUAAGGUCUGUUUAUAAGGUAAUUACUUUCUGCAAGCUUUUAUUUUGAAAGUCACCUUUUUACAUUACGUGACUUUUAUUUUGACGCCACCUCCUGGCGGAAGAAGGAUAGUGCUACGGAGAUUUUCUGAAGGAGGGAAAGCACGCAAUUGCGCUGCUUUAUGUCAUCAUAAACUGAUAAUUAAGCGCCUAGCCAGUACGGGAACAAGGUAUUGUGUGUUGAAUAUGUUUUAUGAUUAUAUGCAGUAACAUUUUGUGAUUUAGGUGGACGCACUUACAGUGUGUGUGUUUAAUUGUGUUGUCAUUCUGACGGUCUUGCUAACAUUAGCUUUUCAUGGAGAUUGCUGUAAUGCUAGCUUUCUAGCUUUUCAUGUGCAAAUGUUGGGCUUAAGGUUUGAUUGGUGUUAAUGUGUAUGGCAAAUACAGUAUAUGGAUAAGGUUUGUAAUGUUUACAUUUUUAGUAAGAGCUCAUUGUAUUUUAUUUGUCUGUCCUUUAGCUCUUACGGUGUUUUCUGAAGAAAGGUGUUUAAAGAAGAAAAGGUGAAUUUGUGUUCAAAAUAUGGCUAACGGCUGAACAUAAAUAAAAGGCUUCUGAAACAUCA